GCUCAGGAUGAACGCUAGCGGCAGGCUUAACACAUGCAAGUCGAGGGGUAGAGGCCUUCGGGCCUUGAGACCGGCGCACGGGUGCGUAACGCGUAUGCAAUCUGCCUUCCACAGAGGGAUAGCCCAGAGAAAUUUGGAUUAAUACCUCAUAGCAUCAUGGCCCGGCAUCGGGAUAUGAUUAAAGUCACAACGGUGGAAGAUGAGCAUGCGUCCCAUUAGCUAGUUGGUAAGGUAACGGCUUACCAAGGCUACGAUGGGUAGGGGUCCUGAGAGGGAGAUCCCCCACACUGGUACUGAGACACGGACCAGACUCCUACGGGAGGCAGCAGUGAGGAAUAUUGGUCAAUGGGCGCAAGCCUGAACCAGCCAUGCCGCGUGCAGGAUGACGGUCCUAUGGAUUGUAAACUGCUUUUGUACGGGAAGAAACCCUCCUACGUGUAGGAGCUUGACGGUACCGUAAGAAUAAGGAUCGGCUAACUCCGUGCCAGCAGCCGCGGUAAUACGGAGGAUCCAAGCGUUAUCCGGAAUCAUUGGGUUUAAAGGGUCUGUAGGCGGUCUUGUAAGUCAGUGGUGAAAGCCCAUCGCUCAACGGUGGAACGGCCAUUGAUACUGCUGGACUUGAAUUAUUGGGAAGCAACUAGAAUAUGUAGUGUAGCGGUGAAAUGCUUAGAGAUUACAUGGAAUACCAAUUGCGAAGGCAGGUUGCUACCAAUGGAUUGACGCUGAUGGACGAAAGCGUGGGUAGCGAACAGGAUUAGAUACCCUGGUAGUCCACGCCGUAAACGAUGGAUACUAGCUGUUGGGCGCAAGUUCAGUGGCUAAGCGAAAG
Molecule: ribosomal RNA, 829 nt
Filed under: Flavobacterium sp. GUAF 7031
Lineage: Bacteria; Pseudomonadati; Bacteroidota; Flavobacteriia; Flavobacteriales; Flavobacteriaceae
Description: bacterial SSU rRNA
Rfam family: Bacterial small subunit ribosomal RNA
Source: RNAcentral